RNAcentral lists this unclassified non-coding RNA (375 nucleotides) under soil metagenome. Its description in RNAcentral is "partial contains 5.8S ribosomal RNA, internal transcribed spacer 2, and large subunit ribosomal RNA". The stretch from base 1 to 120 matches the Rfam family "5.8S ribosomal RNA", at positions 35 to 154 of the family's 154-position model. The record is from RNAcentral.
GAUGAAGAACGUAGCGAAAUGCGAUAAGUAAUGUGAAUUGCAGAAUUCAGUGAAUCAUCGAAUCUUUGAACGCAUCUUGCGCUCCUUGGUAUUCUGAGGAGCAUGCCUGUUUGAGUGUCAUUAAAUUCUCAACUACACUGACUUUGAAUUGGUGUGGCUUGGAUUUGGGGGGAAAAUUGUUGUGGGCUUUUUGUAUAGUCUGCUCCCCUGAAAUUGAUUAGCGGUACCUUUGUGGAACUGUCUACAGGUGUGAUAAUUAUCUACAUCUUAGACAUCUGCUGGAAUGCUGCUUUCUAAACCUUACUUGUAUUGACAAUCUUGACCUCAAAUCAGGUAGGACUACCCGCUGAACUUAAGCAUAUCAAUAGCGGAGGA